RNAcentral lists this long non-coding RNA (475 nucleotides) under Calidris pugnax (ruff). Its description in RNAcentral is "lncRNA (ENSCPUG00000004283.1)". The record is from RNAcentral. Lineage: Eukaryota; Metazoa; Chordata; Aves; Charadriiformes; Scolopacidae.
GCCGGGAAGGGCCCUAUAAAAGCCCGGGUGCUAUUUACGCCGCGCGGGUUGGGCUGUUGCGCCUGCGCGGUGAGAGCGGGGCCUGCCGCCGGUGGGAGCCCGCGGGGCGGCCCUGGGCCCCUCUCAGGCAGAGAGGGGAACUGUGUGGAGGUGUUCCCCCUGCCCCUGCUUGGCUUUGAGCUGGGUAGACUAUGGGGCUCGCUUCGGGUCUAGUAGUGUGUGGCCUGUAGGGGAGCCUUGCUGCUCGGCGCGGCCCCCUGUCCGGGUGUUGCUAGGCCAGGGGGAGGCGGCUGUGGUGGGGGUUGUGGUGUCAGGCUACCCCGUCUGUCUGCAGGCCUUUCAGAUGUGCCUGUUGGGGCUGGGAGUUGGUUCCCUGUUUCUUCCAGUCGAGCAGAGAUCCUUGUGGUCUAUUACUACUUUCAUGGUCCAUUGGGAAGUCUGGCCUUUGUUUACACAAGACUGUUGGGUGUUUUGA